AGGAUUUUAGUUAAAUAAUAACUUUUAAUUUGCAAUUAAACAUUAUAUAUUCUAUAUAUAUAUAAAUCUUA
Molecule: transfer RNA, 71 nt
Filed under: Sceliphron madraspatanum
Lineage: Eukaryota; Metazoa; Arthropoda; Insecta; Hymenoptera; Sphecidae
Description: tRNA-Ala
Source: RNAcentral